AAGACACUGUUGGGGCAGGAUGAUUAAAAACUGUUUUGACGCCAAUUGGAGCUUGCUAUACGCAAGAAAGUCUAGCCUAUUUCGGGUGUUUUUUUUCUCCAUGAGACAAGGCGGUUAUAUAGACUUGAACAGG
RNAcentral lists this small nucleolar RNA (133 nucleotides) under Pan troglodytes (chimpanzee). Its description in RNAcentral is "Small nucleolar RNA SNORA28". It matches the Rfam family "Small nucleolar RNA SNORA28". Rfam says of the family: ACA28 is a member of the H/ACA class of snoRNA that guide the sites of modification of uridines to pseudouridines. Lineage: Eukaryota; Metazoa; Chordata; Mammalia; Primates; Hominidae. The record is from Rfam by way of RNAcentral.